RNAcentral lists this ribosomal RNA (2087 nucleotides) under Trieres chinensis. RNAcentral's name for it is "partial Bacterial large subunit ribosomal RNA". It matches the Rfam family "Bacterial large subunit ribosomal RNA", at positions 102 to 2294 of the family's 2925-position model. Lineage: Eukaryota; Bacillariophyta; Thalassiosirophyceae; Eupodiscales; Parodontellaceae. The record is from RNAcentral.
AAGUAUAAAUUUCCGAAUCGGGAAACCGGCUUGUAAAAAAAUAGAUUUAUUUAUUAUAAAACGUAUGUGGUUAUAAUAAAAUAAAUUAACUUGUUAGUGAAUUGAAUCAUCUAAGUAACUAAUAUAAGCUAAACCAACCGGGAACAGUGUUAGUAGUGGCGAGCGAAAACAUUAAAGACUUGUUUAAAAUUUUAAAAUAAAACUUUGUUUAAAAAUACCGUAGAAGGUUAUUAAAUUAAUUAGUAAGUCCUGUAAAACAAAAGUUUUAAAAAAAUUAAAAAAGUAAAAUGAUCUAAGUCAUAGUUUGUUUAAAUAUUGUGGACCCACCCACAAAGUCUAAUAAAAUUUUAAUGAUAGAUAGUGAAUAAGUACCGUAAGGGAAAGGUGAAAAAAUUAUAUUAUUAUAAGUAUAAAACAUAAUACUAUUACCAGUUGAAGCUUUAAAAUAUAGUGACAGCGUACCUUUUGUAUAAUGUGUCAAUGAGUUUAUUUUCAAAGGCAAGCUUAAAAUUAAGAUAAUGUAGGCUAAAAGAAAUUAAGUUUUAAAAUGCUUUAAAGUCUUUAAAAUAAGACCCGAAACUAAGUGAUCUAGUUAUGAACAGGUUGAAUUUAAAGCGGUAACGCUUAUUGGAGGACCGAACCCGUGUAUGUUGCAAAAUACUGGGACGAUUUGUAAUUAGGGGUGAAAGGCCAAUCAAACUUAGAGAUAGCUGGUUUUCUGCGAAAUCUAUUUAAGUAGAGCGUUUAAUUUAAAUUACCUUUAGUUUGAGGUAGAGCACUUUUUAAUUAAGAGAAGUUAACUAACUUUAUCAAAAUUAACUAAACUCCGAAUGCAAGCUAAAAGAAAUUAAGCAGUCAAACAUAGAAUGCGAAGAUUAUAUGUUAAAAGGGAAACAGCCCAGAUUAUUCGUUAAGGUCCUUAAAAAUAAUUAAGUGAAAAAGAUGCUAAAAAUAUUAAAUACUCGGGAGAUAGGCUUGGAAGCAGCCAAUCUUUAAAGAAAGCGUAACAGCUCACUGAGUCAGCUUUUUUGUGUCGAAUAAUGUAAUGGGACUAAAAUUAUUUACCGAAACGAUAAAAUUUUUAACUUUCAUUUUUUAGUACAUUAAUUUGUACUUUGAUGGUUAAUUAAUUGGUAGCAGAACGUUCUGUAUAAUUCUAAAACUUUAUGGCAGCAUAAAGUGUAAAUAUCAGAAGUGUAUAUAUUGAUAUGAGUAGUAAUAAACAAUGAGUUUAAAAACAUUGUCGUCUAUAAUCUAAGGUUUCCAAAAAAAGGUUAAUCCGUUUUGGUUAAAAGAGAUAAAUCGGUCCCUAAAAUCAUACGAAAGUUUUUUUUGAUGGGUAUUGUUGUUUAAAAUUCAAAUUAACAAUAAAAACAAUGUGACAAAGUAUUAAAGAUUUUUUUAUAUUUAUGGUUUUAUACAUUAAUUUUUGACAUUUUCAAGAAAAAGCAUGUUUUUUACUAAACCGUACUAAAACCGACACAGGUAGAUAAAUUAAGUAAAUUAAGACGUUUGAAAUAAUUGCAUUGAAGGAACUCGGCAAAAUGACUCCGUAACUUAGGAAGAAGGAGUAGCUUUUAUAAAAAGCUGACACAUAAUCGGGGACAGCGACUGUUUAAUAAAAACACAGGUUUCUGCAAAUUUGUAAAAAGAUGUAUAGAGACUGACGCCUGCCCAGUGCUGAAAGAUUAAAGAUAAUAGUUUUAGCUAAAGUCUUAACUCCCAGUAAACGGCGGCUGUAACUCUGACGGUCCGAAGGUAGCGAAAUUCCUUGGCAUUUAAUUGGUGUCCCGCACGAAUGGCGUAACGACUGUCCUACUGUCUCCAGUGCAACUUCAAUGAAAUUGAAUUCUCUGUGAAGAUGCAGAGUAUCUACGGCUAGACGGAAAGACCCCGUGCACCUUUACUAUAGUUAUAUAUUGUACUAAAAAUUUUUAUGUGUAGAAUAGGUGGAAAGUUGUUAGUAGAUUGUUACGCAAGUAAUCUGUUUAUAACAAAGAUUGAAAUACCACUUUUAAAUCUUUUUAGUACUCACUUAUUAGGAUAGUAUAUAAUGGAUAGUUUGACUGGGGCGGUCGCCUCCUAAA